UAUAGUUUCUUCGGAAACUAGAGAGCGGCGUACGGGUGCGUAACACGUGUGCAACCUACCUUUAUCAGGGGAAUAGCCUUUCGAAAGGAAGAUUAAUACUCCAUAAUAUAUUGAAUGGCAUCAUUUAAUAUUGAAAACUCCGGUGGAUAGAGAUGGGCACGCGCAAGAUUAGAUAGUUGGUGAGGUAACGGCUCACCAAGUCAAUGAUCUUUAGGGGUCCUGAGAGGGAGAUCCCCCACACUGGUACUGAGACACGGACCAGACUCCUACGGGAGGCAGCAGUGAGGAAUAUUGGACAAUGGGUGAGAGCCUGAUCCAGCCAUCCCGCGUGAAGGAUUAAGGUCCUAUGGAUUGUAAACUUCUUUUGUACAGGGAUAAACCUAGAUACGUGUAUCUAGCUGAAGGUACUGUACGAAUAAGCACCGGCUAACUCCGUGCCAGCAGCCGCGGUAAUACGGAGGGUGCAAGCGUUAUCCGGAUUUAUUGGGUUUAAAGGGUCCGCAGGCGGACCGAUAAGUCAGUGGUGAAAUCUCAUAGCUUAACUAUGAAACUGCCAUUGAUACUGUCGGUCUUGAGUAAAUUAGAGGUAGCUGGAAUAAGUAGUGUAGCGGUGAAAUGCAUAGAUAUUACUUAGAACACCAAUUGCGAAGGCAGGUUACCAUGAUUUAACUGACGCUGAGGGACGAAAGCGUGGGUAGCGAACAGGAUUAGAUACCCUGGUAGUCCACGCCGUAAACGAUGCUAACUCGUUUUUGGGGCGCAAGCCUCAGAGACCAAGCGAAAGUGAUAAGUUAGCCACCUGGGGA
Molecule: ribosomal RNA, 806 nt
Filed under: Flavobacteriaceae bacterium 94-8PB
Lineage: Bacteria; Pseudomonadati; Bacteroidota; Flavobacteriia; Flavobacteriales; Flavobacteriaceae
Description: bacterial SSU rRNA
Rfam family: Bacterial small subunit ribosomal RNA
Source: RNAcentral